GGGGGGGGCUGUCGGCGGGCGGCAGGCCAGCUCGGUGCCCGGAGCCCGCAGUGAGGAGGCAGCGUGGGCAGCGGCCGCACUGACGGUGGUGUUGGCGCUACUGACCGUGGCCGUACUCUACACCCGCCUCUACCGUCGCUUUGUCCGGAGCCGCAGCCUCUACUGGACACCCGCCCACUGCAGCACCGAGAGCGUGGCAGAUAUAAUAAAGAGAAGAAUUGUCCGGUUUGGCAAGAGGAAAAAGCGGCCUCCGGUUAGGAAGACAUUCUCUGCCCCGUACAACGCACUCCCCAGUGAGAUUAGCGACUGACUGGAGCAAAGUGAUGGGUUCCAUCUGCCAGCUUGUCCAUGGUGUGAGUGGCUGUGAAGUGACUCGAAUUUGCAGCAGAGUUGGACCUGCACCUGGACAAAAACAAGACUGCAAUACUGGCCGUGGGCCCUGAACGAGCGUGAGGACUUCUAACGAUUUAUUUUACCACAAUCUUCCGUGACACGAUGCUUUGUUCCAAGAUUUACAUCGUACGUUCUGGAGUGAUCUACAGAUCAACCCUCUCUCCCUUGAGAGAAACAGGAAUGAAAUCGCACCCUUUUACAGUAGAAUGUAGAGUUGAUAUAAUGUCAUUGUGAACCGUGUCAAUUUUAAUCGAGUCGAGUGUGCCGUGGGUCAGAUUACAGGUACGUGGGUCAUUGUGCUAGUUUAUGGUUUACGAGGUUUAUACAAGAAUAUUUGGGCCACGGCCUCAGGGGUGGGUGUGGACUGAGCCCUCGUAUAAUUCCAGAUUUUAUAAUCUUGUAUAAUUAGGAUCAGAGGUCAAAGCCUCAGAAUUAAAGGACGUUCCUUUGGGAAAGAGAUGAGGAGGAAUUUAUUUAGUUAGAAGGUGGUGAAUCUGUGGAAUUCAUUGCCACAGAAGCUAGUGGAGGUCAAGUCAGUGGAUAUUUUUUAAGGCAGGGAUAGAUUUUGGAUCAGUACGGGUGUCAGGGGUUAUGGGGAGAAGGCAGGAGAAUGGGGUUAGGUGGGGGAGAUAGAUCAGCCAUGAUUGAAUGGCGGAGUAGACUUUAUGGGCUGAAUGGCCUAAUUCUGUUCCUAUCACUCAUGAGCAUGAAUUUAUAAUUUAAUCUUAAAACUGGUUUUGUGGGAGCUUAGUGCAGUUGGGUGGGAGGGAGGGGUGGGUAUGUGGACACCAGCUCGUUCUACAGGAUGUAUAGCUCAACAAACUACACCAGCAAUCAGUCUAGUUUAUUGUCACGUGUACCAAGGUACAGUGAGAUGUUUUUACUAACCAGUCAGCAGAAAGACAAUACAUGAUUACAAUCGAGCCAUUUACAGUGUAGAUGUACAUGUUAAGGGAAUAAUGUUUAGUGCAAGGUAAAGCCCGAUUAAAGAUAGUCCAAGGGACCCAAACUAGGUAGAUAGUAGUUCAGCACCGCUCUCUGGUUGUGGUGGGACGGUUCAGUUGCCUGAUAACAGCCGGAAGAAACUGUCCCUGAAUCUGGAGGUGUGUGUUUUCACACUUCUGUACCUCUUGCCCGAUGAGAGAGGGGAGAAGAGGGAGUGACCGGGGUGAGACUGGCCCUUGAUGAUGCUGCUGGCCUUGUCGAGGCAGCGUGAGGUGUCGAUGGAAGGGAGCAGGUGCAGUCUGUUUGGAGUUUGCACGUUCUCCCUGUGACCUCGUGGGUUUUCUCUGGGUGGUGCUCCGGUUUCCUCCCACAUUCCAAAGACGUGAGGGUUUGUAGGUUGAUUGGGGCUCUGUAAAUUGCCACUAGUGGAUGAGAAAGUGGGAUUAGAUAGAAGUGGUGUGAACAUGUGAUGGAUGGUCAGCAUGGACUCGGUGGGCCGAAGGGCCUGUUUCUGUGCUGUAUCCGCAAACUAAAACAAUUCCAAACUAAAAGCUGAGGUGGAGCAAGAGUAAUUUGUGCUGGACCAUGAGAUAUGAUGUAGAUCAAAGGGUGAAGUAGUUCGUACAAGAGAGAAUUUGUUACAAUAUAAAUGUCAGGGAUAAAAUAUCACAUAUUAAAAUAGUACUUGGAGCAAUAGGUCUAUGGUGUAAUUUGAUUCAGAGAAAGGUUUUUGUUACUACAGCCAAUUUAAUGAUGAGGUUUGAACGAUGCAAAUCAUAUGGUUUGAAGCACAUUGUGCAGUUUGCUAUUGACUUGCAUUGAAGUUAAUCUACAGUUAAUCUGAAAUCAGAGGAAGUUAAACAGGGAAACACAGGAAGGACAGGGAAAGUUGAUUCUUUUCUCAGAUUAGUCUAGAAUCACAAGGGAAUGUAUAAAACGCUAAAUUAUCGGUAUUCGGGAAGCAAUCUACAGAAGAUAGACACAAAACUCUGAAGUAUCUCAGCGGGACAGGCAGCAUCUCUGGAGAGAAGGGAUGAUGCUGCCUGUCCCUGACUUACUCCAGGUUUUUGUGUCUAUCUUCGGUUUAAACCCGUAUCUGCAGUUCCUUCCUGCACAUAGUCUACAGAAUUAGUGUGAUCUGGUAUCAGAACCAAUUGCUGAUCUUGUUGACGAAUGGGGAGUUUUUUUAAUGGGGAAAAUAUUUUAAAUGUUUACAAUUGUCACAGUUUUUGUAAGUUUUCAAAAACGAUUAAAAUUUUAGAAUUAA
This is a long non-coding RNA of Leucoraja erinaceus (little skate), 2605 nucleotides long. RefSeq lists it as uncharacterized. The transcript is spliced from 2 exons. The record is from RefSeq and is a predicted model, not a curated record. NCBI's taxonomy places the organism in Eukaryota, Metazoa, Chordata, Chondrichthyes, Rajiformes, Rajidae.